CUACGGGGUGCAGCAGUGGGGAAUAUUGCACAAUGGGCGCAAGCCUGAUGCAGCCAUGCCGCGUGUAUGAAGAAGGCCUUCGGGUUGUAAAGUACUUUCAGCGGGGAGGAAGGGAGUAAAGUUAAUACCUUUGCUCAUUGACGUUACCCGCAGAAGAAGCACCGGCUAACUCCGUGCCAGCAGCCGCGGUAAUACGGAGGGUGCAAGCGUUAAUCGGAAUUACUGGGCGUAAAGCGCACGCAGGCGGUUUGUUAAGUCAGAUGUGAAAUCCCCGGGCUCAACCGGGGAACUGCAUCUGAUACUGGCAAGCUUGAGUCUCGUAGAGGGGGGUAGAAUUCCAGGUGUAGCGGUGACAUGCGUAGAGAUCUGGAGGAAUACCGGUGGCGAAGGCGGCCCCCUGGACGAAGACUGACGCUCAGGUGCGAAAGCGUGGGGAGCAAACAGGAUUAGAUACCCGCGUAGUC
Molecule: ribosomal RNA, 464 nt
Filed under: uncultured bacterium
Lineage: Bacteria
Description: partial 16S ribosomal RNA
Rfam family: Bacterial small subunit ribosomal RNA
Source: RNAcentral